RNAcentral lists this long non-coding RNA (30720 nucleotides) under Hordeum vulgare. Its description in RNAcentral is "long non-coding RNA (HVUL_LNC013841)". The record is from RNAcentral. Lineage: Eukaryota; Viridiplantae; Streptophyta; Magnoliopsida; Poales; Poaceae.
GAACGUCCUCACCUCCCUCGAUCCGCCCCGCGAACCGUCCCGCGAUCCGUCCCACGAUCUAGUGCCGAAUGGACGGCACCUCCGCGUUCAGCACACNNNNNNNNNNAAAAUUCCUACGCGCACGAAGACCUAUCAUGGUGAUGUCCAUCUACGAGAGGGGAUAUUCGAUCUACGUACCCUUGUAGAUCGCACAGCAGAAGCGUUAAGAAACGCGGUUGAUGUAGUGGAACGUCCUCACGUCCCUCGAUCCGCCCCGCGAACCGUACCGCGAUCCGUCCCACGAUCUAGUGCCGAACGGACGGCACCUCCGCGUUCACCACACGUACAGCUGGACGAUGAUCUCGGCCUUCUUGAUCCAGCAAGAGAGACGGAGAGGUAGAUGAGUUCUCCGGCAGCGUGACGGCGCUCCGGAGGUUGGUGAUGAUCUUAUCUCGGCAGGGCUCCGCCCGAGCUCCGCAGAAACGCGAUCUAGAGGUAAAACCGUGGAGAUAUGUGGUCGGGCUGCCGUGGCAAAGUUGUCUCAAAUCAGCCCUAAAACCUCCGUAUAUAUAGGGGGAAGAGGGGGAGCCUUGCCUUGGGGCUCAAGAGGCCCCAAGGGGGUCGGCCGAGCCAAGGGGGGGAGUCCUCCCCUUCCAAACCGAAUCCAACUAGGUUUGGAAGGAGGAGUCCUUCCCCUUUUUCCCACAUCCUCUUUUUUUCUUUUCUCUUUGAUUUUCUUCCUAUGGCGCAUAGGGCCUUCUUGGGCUGUCCCACCAGCCCACUAAGGGCUGGUGCGUCACCCCCAAGGCCUAUGGGCUUCCCCGGGGUGGGUUGCCCCCCCCCCCGGUGAACACCCGGAACCCAUUCGUCAUUCCUGGUACAUUCCCGGUAACUCCGAAAACCUUCCGGUAAUCAAAUGAGGUCAUCCUAUAUAUCAAUCUUCGUUUCCGAACCAUUCCGUAAACCCUCGUGAUGUCCGUGAUCUCAUCUGGGACUCCGAACAACAUUCGGUAACCAACCAUAUAACUCAAAUACGCAUAAAACAACGUCGAACCUUUAGUGUGCAUACCCUGCGGGUUCGAGAACUAUGUAGACAUGACCCGAGAGACUCCUCGNNNNNNNNNNAUCUGUGAUCUCAUUUGGGACUCCGAACAACAUUCGGUAACCAACCAUAUAACUUAAAUACGCAUGAAACAACGUCGAACCUUAAGUGUGCAGACCCUGCGGGUUCGAGAACUAUGUAGACAUGACCCGCGUGACUCCUCGGUCAAUAUCCAAUAGCGGGACCUGGAUGCCCAUAUUGGAUCCUACAUAUUCNNNNNNNNNNAUCCGUGAUCUCAUCCGGGACUCCGAACAACAUUCGGUAACCAACCAUAUAACUCAAAUACGCAUAAAACAACGUCGAACCUUAAGUGUGCAGACCCUGUGGGUUCGAGAACUAUGUAGACAUGACCCGAGUGACUCCUCGGUCAAUAUACAAUAGCGGGAACUGGAUGCCCACAUUGGAUCCUACAUAUUCUACGAAGAUCUUAUCGUUUGAACCUCAGUGCCAAGGAUUCAUAUAAUCCCGUAUNNNNNNNNNNACGAGGAUCUUAUCGUUUGAACCUCAGUGCCAAGGAUUCAUAUAAUCCCGUAUGUCAUUCCCUUUGUCCUUCGGUAUGUUACUUGCCCGAGAUUCGAUCGUCAGUAUCCACAUACCUAUUUCAAUCUCGUUUAUCGGCAAGUCUCUUUACUCGUUCCGUAAUACAAGAUCCCGCAACUUACACUAAGUUACAUUGCUUGCAAGGCUUGUGUGUGAUGUUGUAUUACCGAGUGGGCCCNNNNNNNNNNCGUAACUUACACUAAGUCACAUUGCUUGCCAGGUAUCUCGGGGCCCACUCGGUAAUACAACAUCGCACACAAGCACCUCUCCGUCACACGGAGUGACAAAUCCCAGUCUUGAUCCAUACUAANNNNNNNNNNUGCAACUUACACUAAGUCACUUUGCUUGCAAGGCUUGUGUGUGAUGUUGUAUUACCGAGUGGGCCCCGAGAUACCUCUCCGUCACACGGAGUGACAAAUCCCAGUCUUGAUCCAUACUAAAUCAACCAACACCUUCGAAGAUACCUGUAGAGCAUCUUUAUAGUCACCCAGUUACGUUGCGACGUUUGAUACACACAAAGUAUUCCUCCGGUGUUAGUGAGUUAUAUGAUCGCAUGGUCAUAGGAACAAAUACUUGACACGCAGAAAACAGUAGCAACAANNNNNNNNNNNNNNNNNNNNNNNNNNNNNNNNNNNNNNNNNNNNNNNNNNNNNNNNNNNNNNNNNNNNNNNNNNNNNNNNNNNNNNNNNNNNNNNNNNNNUGAUACAUGAAUUAUAAUAAUAACUAUAUUUAUUAUUGCCUCUAGGGAAUAAUUCCAACAUCUCCGCAGCCGCGCUAAACAAGCGUCACGCCGUAAAUUUACCCAUUUUAGUGCGCGCGCAAUCGGCAGAGUGUGUCCAGCGGACGCGCAAUAACCGCGCGCGCGGCAUAUAGAGUUGGGCGCGCUGUCCGAAUCGCCAUCGCGCGCUACGUAUUUGGGGCAUCUGCUUCCGCGCGUGGCACACACGAACACUCGCGUCGCACUCUCUCCCAUCGCGCCACCUUCACCCCACACGCGCCGACGCCGGCGAACUGACCCGACGGACGCGCGCAUCGGCUCCCCCCAUCCUACAGCCGCGAACCCUCCGUCGGCGUGAUAACCCACAAGUAUAGGGGAUCAAUCGUAGUCCUCUCGAUAAGUAAGAGUGUCGAACCCAACGAGGAGCAGAAGGAUCUCACAAGUGGUUUUCAGCAAGGAAAUACCUACAAGCAUUGAAAUUAUCGGUAACAAGUGAUUGUGUGUUGAGAUGAUUCGUAGCAAGCAACAAGUAACAAAAGUAGCAACGGUGUAGCAAAGUGGCCGAAUCCCUUUUGGAGCAAGGGACAAGCCUGGACAAAGUCUUAUAGGAGAAAAAACGCUCCUGAGGACACAUGGGAAUUUCUGUCAUGCUAGUUUCAUCAUGUUCAUAUGAUUCGCGUUCGUUACUUUGAUAGUUUGAUAUGUGGGUGGACCGACGCUUGGGUACUGCCCUUACUUGGACAAGCAUCCCACUUAUGAUUAACCCCUAUCGCAAGCAUCCGCAACUACGAAAGAAGAAUUAAGACAAAGUCUAACCAUAGCAUUAAACUAGUGGAUCCAAAUCAGCCCCUUACGAAGCAAUGCAUAAACUAGGGUUUAAGCUUCUGUCACUCUAGCAACCCAUCAUCUACUUACUACUUCCCAAUGCCUUCCUAUAUGCCCAAAUAAUGGUGAAGUGUUAUGUACUCGACGUUCACAUAAAACCACUAGAGGAAAAACAACAUACAACAUAUCAAAUUACCAAACGAAUACCAAAUUCACAUGACUACUAUUAGCAUGACUUAUCCCAUGUCCUCAGGAACAAAAGUAACUACUCACAAAGCAUAAUCAUAUUCAUGACCAUAGAGGUAAAUAGUAGCAUCAAGGAUCUGAACAUAAACUCUUCCACCAAAUAAUCUAACUAGCAUCAACUACAAAGAGUAAUUAACACUACUAGCAACUUUACAAGUACCAAUCGGAGUCGCGAGACGGAGAUUGGUUACAAGUGAUGAACUAGGGUUUGGAGAUGAGAUGGUGCUGAUGAAGAUGUUGAUGGUGACAAGUCCCCUUCGAUGAGAGGAGUGUUGGUGAUGACGAUGGCGACGAUUUCCCCCUCCGGGAGGGAAGUUUCCCCGGCAGGAUCGUCCUGCCGGAGCUCUAGAUUGGUUCUGCUCAAGUUCCGCCUCGUGGCGGCGGCGAAUGUACCAAAAAACUCCUGCCUGAUUUUUUCCUGGAUGAAACCCUUCCUAUAGCAAAAGAUGGGGGGGCAAGUGGGCCAGCAGGUUGCCCACAAGCCCUCAUGGCGCGGCCUGGGGGGUGGCCGCGCCGUGCAGGCUUGUGGCCAACCCCUUGCGCCCCUCUGGAACUUCUUCGGCCCAGUAUUUUUUAUAAAUCCGGAAAAAAAAUCCUCAUUGAUUUUUACGGCAUUUGGAGUUGUGCAGAAUAGGUAUCUCAACUUUGCUCCACUUUGAGGCCAGAAUUCCAGUUGCCGGUAUUCUCCCUCUUCAUGUAAACCUUGCAAAAUAAGAGAGAAAAGGCAUAAGUAUUGUACCGUGAAGUGAAAUAACAGCCCAAGAAGUGAUAAAUAUCAACAUGAUGCAAAAUGGACGUAUCAACUCCCCAAGCUUAGACCUUGCUUGUCCUCAAGCGAAAGCCUAGCUCAAUAAAUAUGUCCACAUGUUUAGGGAGAGAGGUAUCGACAAAACAAGAUACGAACAUGCAUGCAUCAUGAUCAUGGUCAGAACAACAAUACCAACAUAUAAUCUCUCAUGCUAAAGUGAUAAUUCCUUCACAAAGUAAAGCAUGGAUCAAGAACCUUACCGAGAAGUAACAACCGAUAGCCUUUAGUCAUUGAAUCAAUUGCAAUUUAUCACAACAUCACAAAGAGUCAAAUAAGAGCUUGUAAAGCAAAUGCACAUACUCAAUCAUUCUUUCGUUCUCUAUAAUUGCUACAACUCACGUGGUACCCAUGACAUCAAAGUUUCAGCUGGACAUAGAGAAAGAUAGGGGCUUAUAGUUUGCCUCCCAACUGCUUACCUCAAGGGUAAUGUCAACAAUAAUAAUUCAUGAAUGCCUACCUCCGAGUUGACAUAUGAAUAUAGAUCUUUCCCAAGCAUAUGACAUUAGCCAAGAUAAAGGCGAAAUAAGGAAUUGGUGAAGAUCACCAUGACUCUUUCAAGGGCAAAAAUUAAAGGUACAAGAUAGGACCUUCGCAGAGAGAAGCAGAGGUUGUCAUGCGCUUUUGAGGUUUGGAUGCGUGUCUCUUAGUGCGGAGGAACGUCACUUUAUAUUGCCUCGUGUGAUAAAGAACUUUAUUAUGCAGUCUGUCGAUUUUAUGUCUUCCUCAUCACAGGUUCGUAUAAAGAUUAUUUUCCACACACCAAUAGAUCAUACAUAUUAGAGAGCAGUUUUUAUUGCUUGCACCGAUGACAACUUACUUGAGGGAUCUUAUUCAAUCCAUAGGUAGGUAUGGUGGACAUUCGUGGCAAAAUUGGGUUGAAGGUUUAUGGAUGCACAAGUAGUAUCUCUACUUGGUGCGGGAGUUUUGGCUAAUAUGAGGUGGAAGCAAUCGUCACAUGCUAAGGGAUCUCUAAUCAUAUAACACUGUUCAGAGCCAAGCAAACAAAAUUCAUUAUGUUGUCUUCCUUGUCCAACAUCUACUUCUAGGCAUGCAAUAGUUUAGUGAGUGUCCACAAUCAUAGAUGGUGUCAGAGAUGAUAUAUUUAUAUGUGAACCUCUCCUUCUUUAUCACUUCCUAUUAAUUGCAACAAUGACCAACGUCUACGUUUGCCUACCCUCAACAAGUUUCAAUCCUCAUUCUUUUUAUAUGUGAAGCCAUCACUUCCCAUAAGAUCAUUACAUGAUCUUUCAUGCUUUUGUUCUAUUCUCACUAUUUUGAUCAUGGCAAGAGGCAAAGCCCUUUAACUAAGACACUCUUUAUUAUAUGGCUCACGAGCUCGAAUACAUUGGGGGUGACACAAAGCAAAACUCAAAACUAAAACACUAAGACUUUUAAACUACUAGAGAAAAAUAAAACUGAAAAGGAAAACUAGAACAAAGGUAAAGGAAAAAAGAUGUGAUGGUGAUACGAUACCGGGGCAACUCCCCCAAGCUUUGCACAAGCCAAGGGGAUUGCCCAUACCAAUGCUCAGUUGUCUUCCUUUGGUGGUGAAGGUGGAGGAGUUGUUGCAACAUGAGUUUGAUCCUCCGUCUUCCAAGGCAUAGGUGCUCCAUCAUAGAAAGAUGAACGAGUCCCCAGAAUCCUCAAAUCUGCAGCUAACUGUAUUGAUUUAAAUUUAUGCUCAUACUCACAGUUUUGGUUCUGCAGGUCAUAGAUCUGGGCCUGGAGUUGAUCAAUCCUAUCAUAGAACCUCGAGAGAUGCUUCCCAAUGUCAUUGGCAUCAAUCAUAUGCUUGUUGGUGAACUCCGUGAUCAUCAUGUGGUUGGCGUUGAGUCCACGCUCCACCAUCCCUUGGCACUUGAAGACUUGUUGCUCCAUUGCUUCGAGCCUCGUCUCCACGCUUCCGGUCUUCUUAGGCCCCUCAACAUCACGGAUGUGCAACAUCCCCUCACGCAUCUCGAUAGAUUAAGGCUGUUGCAGCACUCCCGUGAGGUAGGGAUUGAUGACCUUCUCGAAGAUCUUGUCCUUCGGAGCUUUUGGGGAAGUCAUAGCUAGAUCUGCAACAGAAACAGGCUCGGAACGAAAAACAGAGGAAAUCUGCGUGAUGCAGGGGUCAGACCAAACAUGAGUAUAUAUAAUGAUUUGUUUCACACCAGAAGGAGUACCCCGCACGAAAACGGAGUCCGGGAGGCGCACGAGGUGGCCACAAGCCCUCACGGCGCGGCCACGGGGUGGGCCCGCGCCGUGCAGGCUUGUCGUCUCCUCGCGCACUUUCCGGACUACUUCAAUUUUUUGUAUUUUUUCAAAUAUUCCAAAACGGAGAAAAUUUCCUACUAGAAAAGUUUUGGACACUGUUUUCUUACCGAAUCACAUACCUCUUUGUUUUCGGAGUCUGAAACAGGCUGAUAAAUAUCCCUUAGGUAUUCUUCCGGAGUUAUGGUAUUGAUAAUAUUGCUUUCAACAUUUAUGGGGGUACCUGAGAUAUAAUGCUUGAUCCUCUGCCCAUUUACCACUCUCGGACAAUUACCUUCCGUGUUGUUGAUCUUGAUAGCACCGGAACGAUAUACUUCCUCAACAACAUAGGGACCUUCCCAUUUAGAGAGAAGCUUGCGUGCAAAGAAUCUUAAACGAGAGUUAUAUAGCAAGACAUAAUCACCUACACUGAACUCAAGCUUUUGUAUUCUCUUAUCAUGCCACCUCUUAACCUUCUCUUUGAACAACUUGGCAUUCUCAUAUGCCUGAGUUCUCCAUUCAUCAAGCGAGCUAAUAUCAAAUAACCUCUUCUCACCGGCAAGUUUGAAAUCAAAGUUGAGCUCUUUGAUUGCNNNNNNNNNNNNNNNNNNNNNNNNNNNNNNNNNNNNNNNNNNNNNNNNNNNNNNNNNNNNNNNNNNNNNNNNNNNNNNNNNNNNNNNNNNNNNNNNNNNNCCUCCUCCGAUCUGGACCGCCACUCGGUAGUCAUCUAGCCAUGUUUCCGGCUUGGACUCUCCUGUAAACUUAUUGAUUCCCGUCGCCAAUCGGAAGUUGGGCGGGAUGUCAGCCAAGCGGAUGGCUCGACUAAAACACUCGGGACCAGACACGAUGGUCCUGCUUCCACUUGGACGGUCCAUAUCGUGACCAUCGCGGUGGGCUCGGCCCUUGUCGACCCUUCGCUGGGCGAUACGUCCUCUUGCGUCGGGCCUUGGGUCAUAAGUGUCGCCGACUGAACGCCGAUCAUCAUGAUGUCGGGACCCAUAGGGCCCACCCCGCGGAGGGGUGCAUGAACGACGGUGAUCUUCGUGUGUGAACGACGGCAAUCUUCGUGAUUCAUGGAACGGCUGCCUCCCCUAUGCCUCUAAUGGGAACCAGGGUUGUGAACCGACCGAUGCAUAUUCGCAUGAACAGAACUAUUAUGGAUCCUGUUGUGCGACUGGGAGACCGCCGAAUUCUUCUCCUGCGCCAUGUGCAACAGGGCUCGGAUCUGCUCGAUCCCUCUACCAGCCUCUGAAUGAGUCGGCUGGAGGGAAUCGGCUAUCUUGGCAGCCGCAGCCAAGUUAAGGAGGGGUGUGCGGAACAACUCUACGUCGCUCCGCCGAGUGUGCCGACUGGCAUAACGGCGAGGUGGACGGCGCGCGCCGGACGUUUCGCCGACCUCGCGCUCGCUCCGGCCAGCUUGACGGGGAUCUUCAUGGGAGUUGGCCAUGUGGACUUCUGCUGCGGGCCCGCGACCCGCAUACUCGGAAGGAAACUCAGUCGGAACCGAGUCCGAGUGCUGGGACAGCGGGGCAACCACAACGGACUCUAGAACCGCCACUUGUGAAGACGCUUUCUGGCGCGCCUGGGCGUGUUGCACCCAACGCUGGAGCUGCGGACGGCGAGACCGCUUGCUGCGGCACGUGACGGCGGUGCAGGUCGACACCGGAGCCGACUGUUGGAGAAGAAGAAUGCCGCGGGCGCCGACACGGAAGUGCGCAGCCCCACGACGGGGAAGCGCCUCGAUGUCGAGAGGAGCAUCCCGAAGUCACGCCGAAUCGUCGAUGAUGAAGGAGAGAGCGCCAAAGAAGAUCUGGUGACCCAUGCUCGAACCUCCACCGGACGACAUGACGAAAGGAAGUAGUCGCAAACUCGCCAGAAGUCGCUUAGACGCCUGCCCCAAGGUGGGCGCCAACUGUCGUGGGUAUAAGCCUGACAGUAGAUGUGUAGGGUACGAAAAGGAUGGGCAGAGCCUUAGCUACGGCGAGGUUGUAUGAGUUCAGGCCCCUCUGCGGUGGAGGUAAUAGCCCUACGUCUCACUGCUCAGGGAGCUUGUUGUCGAGUGGAAAUAUGGAAUACCAUGAGUUGCUAACCCCUGCACCAGAGGGGGAGGGUGGCUUAUAUAGACUGCGCUGUCCUCCACAAUGGUUCCGGUACAGGGGUGGAGUAGUGGCGAUUGAAUGCGUACGUUACCGGUAACGUACGUCCUAAAUGCUAAUAAAUGCACAGGGAAACGUACGACCGUUUCCCUCCAGGGGGGUUACGAUGUCCCGAGUGGCAUCCAGUCGGUUAGUUGGAUGUUCUCCGAAUGCUAGUCUCCGACUGGAUGGUCAAGGACCUGUUGCCGACUGGAUGAUGGGGACUCCUUAAUUCAGUCGGAACUGACUAAGGGUCUUGUCCCUUAUGAGGGUAGUCCUUGGGUAGGACUUAUAGGGCAGGCCUAUGACCCUACCCUAGGACUAUAACCCCAUCAUUAGUCCCCGAAUGGAUUGGGUCACUGAGGCGGAGUUACCCUAGAUACUUGGUAGAUAAGAAGGCUGGCAAAGUCGACACAAGUAUAUUUGAUAUACAUGAUAUUGAUGUGUACUUUACUCGUACUCGUAGUAGCACGAGGGUAUUGGAUACCGGUUCGGUUGCUAAGUGAUUAGUAACUCGAAAUGAAAGCUACGGUAUAAAUGGAGACUAGCUAAAGGUGAGGUGACGAUACGUGUUGGAAGUGUUUCCAAGGUUGAUGUGAUCAAACAUCGCACGCUCCCUCUAUCAUCGGGAUUGGUGGUAAAACCUAAAUAAUUGUUAUUCGGUGUUUGCGUUGAGCAUGAACAUGAUUGGAUCGUGUUUAUUGCAAUACGAUUAUUCAUUUAAAGAGAAUACUAGUUAUUUUAUUUUCUUGAAUAAUUACUCUCAAUGGUUUAUUGAAUCUCGAUCGUAGUGCUACACAUGUUCAUAAUAUUGGUGGCAAAAGAUACAAAGUAAUAAUGAUCGUACCACUUACUUGUGGCACUGCCGCUUGAGUCAUGUUGGUGUAGAACGCAUGAAAAAACUCCAUGCAGAUGGAUCGUUUGGACUCACUUGAUUUCGAAUCACUUGAGGCAUGCAAAUCAUACCACAUGGGCAAGAUGACUGAAGGCCUUGUUUUUAUUGAGAUGGAACAAGAAAGUAACUUGUUGGAAGUAAUACAUUUUUUAUGUGUGCAGUCCAAUGAGUGCUGAGGCACUCAGUGGAUAUCGUUAUGUUCUUACUUUACUGAUGAUUUGAGCAGAUACACGAGUAUUUACUUGAUGAAUCACAAGUCUGAAAUAUUGAAAAGUUCAAAGCUAUUUCAGAUUGAAGAUCGUCGUGACAAGAUGAUAAACUGUCUACGAUAUGAUCAUAGAGAUGAAUAUCUGAGUUGCGAGUUUUGGUACACAGUUAAGACAAUGUGGAAAUUGUUUUGCAAUUCCUGCCACCUAGAACACCAUAGUGUGAUGGUGUGUCCGAACAUCAUAGCCGCGCCCUAUUGGAUAUAGCGCAUACUAUGAUGUCUCUUAUCAAAUUACCACUAUCGUCUAUGGGUUAUGCAUUAGAGACAACCGCAUUCACUUUAAAUAGGGCACCGCGUAUUUCCGUUGAGAUGACACAAUAUAGACUAUGGUUUGGAGAAACCCAAGCUAUCGUUUCUUAAAUGUUUGGGGCUGCAAUGCUUAUGUGAAAAAGUUUCAGUUUGAUAAGCUCGAACCCAAAGCGGAUAAAUGCAUCUUCAUAGGAUAUCCAAAACAGUUGGGUGCAUCUCCUAUGUCAGAUCCGGAAGCGAAUUGUUUAUUUCAAGAAAUGGGUCCUUUCUCGAUGAAAGGUUUCUCGCGAAAGAAUUGAGUGGGAGGAUAGUGGAACUUGAUGAGGUUAGUGAACCGUCACUUCAACCAGUGUGUAGCAGAGCGCAGGAAGAUGUUCCUGUGGCACCUACACCAAUUGAAGUAGAAACUAAUUAUGGUGAUCAUUGAGCUUCAGAUCAAGUUACUACAAAUCUCGUAGGUCGACAAGGUCGCAUACUACUGCAGAGUGGUACGGUAACCCUGUCUUGGAGGUCAUGUUGUUGAACAACAAUGAACCUACGAGCUAUGGAGAAGCGAUGGUGGGCCCAGAUUCCGACAAAUGGCUGGAGGCCAUGAAAUCCGGGAAAGGAUCCAUGUAUGAAAACAAAGUGUAGACUUUGGGAGAACUACUUGAUGGUCGUAGGACUAUUAAGUAAAGAUGGAUCUUUGAAAGGAAGACAAACGAUGAUGGUGAAAAGUCACCAUUAAAAAAGGCUCGACUUGUCGCAAAGAUGUUUUCGACAAGAUCAAAGACUUGACUAUGAUGAGACUUUCUCACUCGUAGCGAUGCUAAAAGUCUGUUGGAAUUAUGUUAGUAAUUGCUGCAUUAUUUAUGAAAUAUUGCACAUAGGAUGUCAAAACAUUGUUUCCUCGACAAUUUCCUUGAGGAAAGGUUGUAUGUUAUCCAACCAGAAGGUUUUAUCGAUCCUAAGGAUACUAACAAGUAUGCAAGCUCCAACGAUCCUUUUAUGGACUGGUGCAAGCAUCUCGGAGUUGGAAUAUACGCUUUGAUGAGAUGAUAAAAGCUUUUGGGUUUGUGCAAGGUUUAUGAGAAACUUGUAUUUCCAAAGAAGUGAGUGGGAGCACUAUAGAAUUUCUGAUAAGUAUAUGCGGUUGACAUAUUGUUGAUCGGAAGUAAUGUAGAAUUUCUGUAAAGCAUAAAGGUUCUUUGGAAAGGGUUUUUCAAAGGAAGACCUGGAUAGAGCUACUUAAACAUUGAGCAUCAAGAUCUAUGGAGAUAGAUCAAGAAUGCUAAAUAGAACUUUCAAAUGAAAUGCAUGCCCUCACAAGUUUUUGAUGGAGUUCAAAAUAGAUCAGCAAAGAAGGAGUUUUUGGCUGUGUUGUAAGGUGUGAAUAUGAGUAAGACUCAAAAGCCCGACCAUGGCAGAAGAAAGAGAAAUGAUGAAGGUCGUCCCCUAUGCCUUCGCCAUAGACUCUACAGUAUGCCAUGCUGUGUACCGCACCUGAUGUGUGCCUUGCCACAAUUCUGUUAAGAGCUACAGAGAGUGAUCCGGGAUUGAAUCAUUGAACAUCGGUCAAAGUUAUCCUUAGUAACUAAUAGACUAAGGAAUUUUUCUCGAUUAUGGAGGUGGUUGAAGAGUUCGUCGUAAAGGGUUACGUUGAUGCAAGCUUUGACACUAAGCCGAAUAACUUUGAGUAGUAAAACGGAUUCGUAUAGUAGACUAGAUAUUUGGAGUAUUUCCGAAUAGCACGUAGUAGCAGCAUCUAUAAGAUGACAUAAAGAUUUGUAAAGCACACACGGAUUUGAAAGAUUCAGAACUGUUGACUAAAACCUCUCCCACGAGCAAGACAUGAUCAGACUCCAGAACUAUAUGGGUGUUGGAUUCGUUAAAAUCACAUGAUGAUGUGAACUAGAUUAUUGACUCUAGUGCAAGUGGGAGACUGUUGGAAAUAUGACCUAGAGGCAAUAAUAAAUUAGUUAUUAUUAUAUUUCCUUGUUCAUAAUAAUCGUUUAUUAUCCAUGCUAGAAUUGUAUUGAUUGGAAACUCAAAUACAUGUGUGGAUACAUAGACAACACACUGUCCCUAGUGAGCCUCUAGUUGACUAGUUCGUUGAUCAAAGAUAGUCACGGUUUCCUAGCCAUAGGCAAGUGUUGUCACUUGAUAACGGGAUCACAUCAUUAGGAGAAUCUGUUGGAAUUAUGACCUAGAGGCAAUAAUAAAUAUAGUUAUUAUUAUAAUUUAUGUAUCAAGAUAAUCGUUUAUUAUCCAUGCUAUAAUUGUAUUGAAUGAAGACUCAUUUACAUGUGUGGAUACAUAGACAACACACUGUCCCUAGUGAGCCUCUAGUUGACUAGUUCGUUGAUCAAAGAUAGUCACGGUUUCCUAGCCAUAGGCAAGUGUUGUCACUUGAUAACGGGAUCACAUCAUUAGGAGAAUCUGUUGGAAUUAUGACCUAGAGGCAAUAAUAAAUAUAGUUAUUAUUAUAAUUUAUGUAUCAAGAUAAUCGUUUAUUAUCCAUGCUAUAAUUGUAUUGAAUNNNNNNNNNNNNNNNNNNNNNNNNNNNNNNNNNNNNNNNNNNNNNNNNNNNNNNNNNNNNNNNNNNNNNNNNNNNNNNNNNNNNNNNNNNNNNNNNNNNNUAUGAGCAACAGAACCGGUAUCGAAUACCCAGGCACUACUACGAGAGACGGUUAAGUACACAUAAAUAACAUGUAUAUCAAAUAUACCUGAUUUUUCUUUGCCCGCCUUCUUAUCUGCCAGAUACUUGGGGCAAUUGCGCUUCCAGUGACCCAUACCCUUGCAAUAGAAACACUCCGUUUCAGGCUUAGGUCCAGCUUUGGGUUUCUUCGGCGGAUUGGCAACAGGCUUGCUGCUCUUGUUCGAAUUGCCCUUCUUGCCUUUGCCGUUUCUCUUGAAACUAGUGGUCUUAUUUACCAUCAACACCUGAUGCUCUUUACGGAGUUCAGACUCUGCGACUUUCAACAUCGCAAACAACUCGCCGGGAGACUUGUUCAUCCCUUGCAUGUUGUAGUUUAACACAAAGCCUUUAUAGCUUGGCGGCAGUGACUGAAGGAUUCUGUUAGUGAUAGCCUCUUGCGGGAGUUCAAUCCCCAGCUCAGCUAGACGGUUUGAGUACCCAGACAUUUUGAGCACAUGUUCACUGACAGACGAGUUUUCCUCCAUCUUGCAAGCAUAGAAUUUAUCGGAGGUCUCAUACCUCUCGAUCCGGGCGUUCUUCUGAAAGAUAAACUCCAACUCCUGGAACAUCUCAAAUGCUCCAUGACGCUCAAAGCGACGUUGAAGUCCCGGUUCUAAGCCAUACAAGACUGCACAUUGAACUAUUGAGUAGUCCUCCUUACGUGCUAACCAAGCGUUCUUAACAUCCUGAUCAGCCGUAGCGGGUGGUUCAUCUCCUAGCGCAGCAUUAAGGACAUAAUCCUUCUUCCCAGCUUGUAAGAUUAGCUUAAGAUUACGAGCCCAGUCUACAAAGUUGCUUCCAUCAUCUUUCAACUUAGCUUUCUCUAGGAAUGUAUUAAAAUUCAGGAUGACUGUCGCGUGAGCCAUGAUCUACAACACAAAUAUAUUCAAAGUGAUGUUCAAGAUAAUUAGAAGUUUAACUUAAUCAAAUUAUACGCUAAACUCCCACUCAAAAAGUACAUCUCUCUAGUCAUUUGAGUGGUUCAUGAUCCACNNNNNNNNNNNNNNNNNNNNNNNNNNNNNNNNNNNNNNNNNNNNNNNNNNNNNNNNNNNNNNNNNNNNNNNNNNNNNNNNNNNNNNNNNNNNNNNNNNNNACAACAUGCAAGGGAUGAACAAGUCUCCCGGCGAGUUGUUUGCGAUGCUGAAAGUCGCAGAGUCUGAACUCGUAAAGAGCAUCAAGUGUUGAUGGUGAAUAAGACCACUAGUUUCAAGAGAAAUGACAAAGGCAAGAAGGGUAAUUCAAAGAAGAGCGGCAAGCCUGUUGCCAAUCCGACGAAGAAACCCAAAGCUGGACCUAAGCCUGAAACAGAGUGUUACUAUUGCAAGGGUAUGGGUCACUGGAAGCGCAAUUGCCCCAAGUAUCUGGCACAUAAGAAGGCGGCCAAAGAAAAAUCAGGUAUAUUUGAUAUACAUGUUAUUGAUGUGUACUUAACCGUCUCUCGUAGUAGUGCCUCGGUAUUCGAUACCGGUUCUGUUGCUCAUAUUUGCAACUCGAAACAGGAACUGUGGAAUAGACGAAGGCUGGCGAAAGAUGAAGUGACGAUGAGCGUAGGAAAUGGUUCCAAGGUUAAUGCAAUCGCCGUCGGCACAGUUUCACUUCAGUUACCAUCAGGAUUAGUUAUGAACUUAAAUCAUUGUUAUUUAGUGCCUGCGUUGAGCAUGAACAUUAUAUCUGGAUCUUGUUUAUUGCGAGACGGUUACUCUUUUAAGUCAGAGAAUAAUGGUUGUUCUAUUUCUAUGAGUAACAUCUUAUAUGGUCAUGCACCCAAUGUGAGAGGAUUGUUCAUAUUGAAUCUUGAUAGCGAUACACACAUACAUAACAUUGAGACCAAAAGAGUUAGAGUUAACAAUGAUAGCGCCAUUUUUUUGUGGCACUGCCGCUUAGGUCAUAUUGGUGUAAAGCGCAUGAAGAAACUCCAUGCUGAUGGACUUUUGCAGUCACUUGACUUUGAUUCACUUGACACAUGCGAACCAUGCCUCAUGGGCAAGAUGACUAAGACUCCGUUCUCCGGAACAAUGGAGCGUGCAAGUGACUUGUUGUAAAUCAUACAUACCGAUGUGUGUGGUCCGAUGAGCGUAGAGGCACGCGGCGGAUAUCGUUAUUUUCUCACCUUCACUGACGAUUUGAGUAGAUAUGGUUAUGUCUACUUAAUGAAGCACAAGUCUGAAACAUUUGAAAAGUUCAAACAAUUUCAGAGUGAAGUUGAAAAUCAUCGUAACAAGAAGAUCAAGUUCCUACGGUCUGAUCGUGGGGGUGAAUAUCUGAGUUUCGAGUUUGGUGCUCACUUAAGACAAUGUGGAAUUGUUUCACAGUUGACACCGCCUGGAACACCACAGCGUAAUGGUUUGUCCGAACGUCGUAAUCGUACUUUAUUAGAGAUGGUGCGAUCUAUGAUGUCUCUUACUGAUUUUCCGUUAUCAUUUUGGGGUUAUGCAUUAGAAACAGUUGCAUUCACUUUAAAUAGGGCACCAUCAAAAUCCGUUGAGACGACACCAUACGAACUGUGGUAUGGCAAAAGGCCAAAGUUGUCGUUUCUUAAAGUUUGGGGAUGUGAUGCUUAUGUCAAAAAGCUUCAGCCUGAAAAGCUCGAACCCAAAGCGGAAAAGUGCGUCUUCAUAGGUUACCCAAAAGAGACAGUUGGGUACACCUUCUAUCUCAAAUCCGAGGGCAAAGUGUUUGUUGCUAAAAACGAAGCUUUUCUCGACAAGGAGUUUCUCUCGAGAGAAUUGAGUGGGAGGAAGAUAGAACUUGACGAGGUUGUCGAACCUCUCAUCCCUCUGGAUGGUGGCGCAGGGCAAGGGGAAACCUCCGUCGUUGCGACGCCGGUUGAGGAGGAAGUUAAUGAUGAUGAUCAUGAAACUCCGGUUCAAGUUUCUGUCGAACCACGCACGUCGACGAGACCACGUGCUGCUCCACAGUGGUACGGUAAUCCCGUCUUAUCAAUCAUGUUGUUGGACAACAAUGAACCUGCAAAUUAUGAAGAAGCAAUGGUGGACCCAGAUUCCAACAAAUGGCUAGAAGCCAUGAAGUCCGAGAUAGGAUCCAUGUAUGAGAACAAAGUGUGGACUUUGGANNNNNNNNNNNNNNNNNNNNNNNNNNNNNNNNNNNNNNNNNNNNNNNNNNNNNNNNNNNNNNNNNNNNNNNNNNNNNNNNNNNNNNNNNNNNNNNNNNNNNNNNCGUUUAUAAAGCUCGACUUGUGGCAAAGGGUUUUUCACAAGUUCCAGGAGUUGACUACGACGAGACUUUCUCACCCAUAGCGAUGCUUAAGUCCGUCAGAAUCAUGUUAGCAAUAGCUGCAUUUUUCGAUUAUGAAAUCUGGCAGAUGGAUGUCAAAACGGCGUUCCUUAACGGUUUUCUUAAGCAAGAAUUGUAUAUGAUGCAACCCGAAGGUUUUGUCGAUCCUAAGAAUGCUAACAAGGUGUGCAAGCUCCAGCGAUCCAUUUAUGGACUGGUGCAAGCAUCUCGGAGUUGGAACAAACGCUUUGAUGAGGUGAUCAAAGCAUUUGGGCUUAUACAAGUGGUUGGAGAAUCUUGUAUUUACAAGAAAGUGAGUGGGAACUCUGUGGCGUUUCUAAUAUUAUAUGUGGAUGACAUAUUACUGAUUGGAAACAACGUAGAGUUUUUGGAGAGCAUAAAGGAUUACUUGAAUAAAAGUUUCUCUAUGAAGGACCUAGGAGAAGCUGCUUACAUUCUAGGCAUUAAGAUCUACAGGGAUAGAUCAAAACGCCGAUAGGACUUUCACAAAGCACAUACCUUGAUAAAGUUUUGAAAAGGUUCAAAAUGGAACAGUCCAAGAAGGGGUUCUUGCUAGUUUUACAAGGUACGAGAUUGAGUAAGACUCAGUGCCCAGCAACUGAUGAGGAUAGAGAGCAUAUGCGCACCGUCCCCUAUGCUUCAGCCAUAGGUUCUAUCAUGUAUGCAAUGCUGNNNNNNNNNNNNNNNNNNNNNNNNNNNNNNNNNNNNNNNNNNNNNNNNNNNNNNNNNNNAGCCAUAAGUAUGGCAGGUAGGUUCCAGAGUAAUCCAGGAGUGGAUCACUGGACGACGGUCAAGAAUAUCCUGAAAUACCUGAAAAGGACUAAGGAGAUGUUUCUCGUGUAUGGAGGUGACGAAGAGCUCGCCGUAAAGGGUUACGUCGAUGCAAGCUUUGACACAGAUNNNNNNNNNNNNNNNNNNNNNNNNNNNNNNNNNNNNNNNNNNNNNNNNNNNNNNNNNNNNNNNNNNNNNNNNNNNNNNNNNNNNNNNNNNNNNNNNNNNNAAGAAGGACUGCACCCACCAAACCAAGUAGGACUCGGUUUGGGGGGGUCCUUCCCCCCUUUGGCUCGGCCGACCCCCUUGGGGCUCCUUGAGCCCCAAGGCAAGGUCCCCUCUCUCCCACCUGUAUAUACGGAGGUUUCAGGGCUGAUUUGAGACGACUUUUCCUCGGCAGCCCGACCACAUACCUCCACGGUUUUUCCUCUAGAUCGCGUUUCUGCGGAGCUCGGGCGGAGCCCUGCUGAGACAAGAUCAUCACCAACCUCCGGAGCGCCGUCACGCUGCCGGAGAACUCUUCUACCUCUCUGUCUCUCUUGCUGGAUCAAGAAGGCCGAGAUCAUCGUCGAGCUGUACAUGUGCUGAACGCGGAGGUGCCGUCCGUUCGGCACUAGAUCGUGGGACUAAUCGCGGGAUUGUUCGCGGGGCGGAUCGAGGGACGUGAGGACGUUCCACUACAUCAACCGCGUUCACUAACGCUUCUGCUGUACGGUCUACAAGGGUACAUAGAUCACUCAUCCCCUCUCGUAGAUGGACAUCACCAUGAUAGGUCUUCGUGCGCGUAGGAAAAUUUUUGUUUCCCAUGCGACGUUCCCCAACAGGAGAUACUCUAAAUGAGGGCUGGCUAGCACUAAAUUUCCCAUCACCACGUCAGAGUGAAUUUCAUUUUUUAUCCCGUAGUCAUACAUUUGUGACACAUAUUACUUCAUUUAUUUUAAGUUCUAUCAAAAUAUAAGAUUUCAGAGACCUUAAGCACAGGUUUGCCGCACCUUUGCAUUUUGCUUGUUUAUGUUUAAUAGGAUUGGCAUGUUGCGUCAAGGAUUCAUAAAAAAUGUGUAAAGAACGGAGGGUAUUAUUGCCGGACAUGUCCAGACUUUUCUUGUCCAUCUGUUUCAUUCCUCCUCGUCGUUCAUAUGUUUUUAAACCCUAGACGUCACCCCACAACUUGCCAAAUGGACACGCAUCAGAAAAUGAGGGCCCAAAGCUUCUAAAAGGAGUGUUCUAGACUAAUGUUUACUCGAUGGGGUAAUUAGUGUCAUAAAUGCAUAUCGAGGGAGUAAAAUGUGAAAUUCACUCCAUAAAACACGACAAUAUUCGGAUAGAAAUAAAUUGUGACAUAAAUUCCAUGCUCGUCAACCAUGCUCGUCAAGUAAACUUGCCAUCUUGGAAGAACAUAAUUUGCCAUGGUCAAAAUCCGAUGUCAGAUUUGUAGUGAAUUCCAAAAUGUAAAGGUACCACUUAUACCAGUUGAUAAAAUGCAACAAGAGUAGACAAGAAAUACAUUAUAAAAUUAGUUAUGUUUAUAUGUUAUCUUUAACGGUUAGUUUUGUGUGCUCCUAAACUAUAUUGUGACUACUACUCGUGAAAAAAAAACUAUAUGAUGACUACAUUAACAAACUACUUCCCGUUCUUAAAUAUAAGUCUUUUUAGAUAUUUUACUAAAGACUGCAUACAGAUAUAUAUAAACAUAAUUUAGAGCAUCUCUAACAGACCCCUAUAAUGCCCCGAUCUGUAAAAUAACCGCCAAAUUACGGGUCUGCGCGGAAAAUGCUAUCCGAUUAGACCCCGUAAAUGCGUCCGACUCAUAAACUUUUUUGAGGCGAUACAUUCUCACAUUUCACCAGCAGAGUUUGGUGAUGACCCUUGCCGUGAAGGAGCACGAAGACGUGAACCGAAAGAGGCGGCGAGGAUCGAUCGUCGGCUGUCUUUGCUUUCCUCGAAAUCGCCAUCUCGGGAACGAGAUGGUGAUGCAAGACUACUUCGCGACCAAUCCAACAUAUCCGACGCACCUCUUCCGGAGAAGGUAUCGUAUGCGUAGAUCCCUCUUUUUAAAAAUUCUUCAAGCUUGCGAGACCAAUUAUCGAUAUUUUACUGAAAGGAGAAAUUCCGCGGGCUUGAAAGAAUUUAGUGCAUAUCAAAAAAUCUCGGCAGCUAUGCGGAUAAUUGCAUACGACUUUCCGGCUAACUAUGUCGAUGAGUACCUUCGCAUUGUGAAAGAUAGUACAAUUGAGCAUGUGGUGAGUUUCUCGGAUCGAUUAGUACAAUUGAGUAUGUGGUGAGUUUCUCGGAUCGAUUGGAGUACGCUUAGUCGAGGCACGCUCUUCUAAACUCUCUUAUUUUUUGAUACAUACGCAGGACGAACACGUUUAGUCAUCGCGUGACAAGCGCGAUAAGAGGGUGUUUGGAUACGUUUUAGUCCCAUGACUAAAAGUAGUGGGACUAAAACUUGCUAGCCUCAUCCAUGCUUGGAUCCAAAUACUAAAGAGACUAAAAUCAAGUUAAUGAGCAUUUAUUACUUUCCGAACCGUCCAAUCCAGAACUCGCAUGUGUUAAAUGAAAGGAGUUAAAUGAGGAGAAAGAGGAGUAAUCCAUAUUUUAGUAGGGGUACCCCUGACUAAAAGAUUUUAGCCUCAAGACUAGUUUUAGCCUUUCUUUAGUCAGGGGUGCUUGGAACUUUAGCCACUUAAAAAGACUAUUUUUAGUCAGACUAGUUUUAGUCCCUUGAUCCAAGCACCCUCUAAGCAACACAAACCAAUAAGGAUGGGCCCAUUUAAGUCGUGUCUACCCCAUUCAUAGUUAGCUAUAAAAGAGUACUACUUUUAUCCUAUAUGGCCCACCUUUCAUUCUCACAAAGCACCUCUUCUCUCUCCUCUUCUCUUUCAUCCAACUCAGUAAAAAUAUAGUAUUUUAAUCCUUACAGCCUGCUGACUGUACCUUAUUGUACUUGCUCUAAGAUUCGUUUCAUACCGUGGCAUUUGGAGGAGCAAUUAAUCGACCACCUACCAUCGGAAAGUCUCCCGUGGAAGAGACAAUAUUACUAGACUGCCUUCUAGAACGGGUCAAUAUUUGAGUUAGAGCCAUUUUUGGCUUGGAACUCAAACUUGUCUCUAGUGCCCAGUGUCAAGACGUAGCAUUCUCUCAUUUUCGUCCUUGCAGCUUCCGCUGGUGAGCACUAUUUCUUCGUCCUGCCGGCCAACGAGCCUUCGCCCUAGCUGCAAGUCUCACCACAUUCGACCUAACGCUUGGUUGGUGUAUGUAUAGUGGUAUACACUCCACUUGGCCGAGAAAACUCAAAACUCAAAAGGACUGUUGGGGGCCUUUCUUGUAAUCUCGUGGUUAGAGGAGAAAACAAUUAGGGGGGCUGCAAGCUUUCAACUGUCAAAACUUGGUUGGUAUAUUAUGUAGCUGCAGUCGUUGGCCAAGUAAGUUCCAACUUCUUCCGUUUAGGGGGGAAACACUUGGACGAUUCAAAUGAGAUAGAUAGUGCACCGAAAGCAAAACUCAAUUUCGAAUCAUCACGAAAAUCAUUGGGUAUAUACACAUAUUCAAAUCAAUACAGGCCAGGCGCACAACCGCUGCCGUCAGGAGAGCCGCCGUACCACUCUCCCCCUCCUCCGCCGCCAUUGGAGGAGGCCAUCGGCCUAAGCCGAAGCGGCUGGCGGCGGUGGCGGAGAAGCCCCUUCCUCUCGCGGUGCAGGCUUGAAGCGGGGCUCCAUGGCCAAGAGGGAGUGCUCGCCGACGGAUUUGGGUCGCAGACGGUGCGUAGGUUGGCUCCUUAGCGACGGCGGCAUGACGAUGGCGACGAUGCAGUAGCGUCGUGGAGGAUGUGAUCUGUUGCACAUAAGGUGGGUGUGGACAUGUUGGUCCACGACCAGAUCCAACCAGAGUUGGCUUUGGUGGUCGGCGUGUGGCACGAGGUGUCGUGUUGGGGUCCACUACGACACGUGCAACUUCGAAGGGUGUUGCUUCUACGUUGUACUCCUUCUUAUCAUCUACGACUAGAUCUGGGACUCCCGGGUAGAACAAUGGUGGCAACUCGAUGCCAUCCCUCCUGUGGGCAUUGUUUUGGAGAAGAUGUUGUCUAGAGGAGUCAAGAGGUGGAGCAGUGUUACAUCUUUAUCAUCUACGACAACGGGUCUCGACAGCACGGCGGCGUGGGGCCUUGACGCUGGAUGCGAGUUGAUAGACACAUGCAAGCUGGUGGCGUUGUCUGGCGUCAUGGUGAAGCCGACGACGGUUAGGCCUUACAAGGUCAAUGCAUUGAUCACUCCAGAAGAUGGAACGGUGGAAGAUGACGGUGGCGGAUCGAGAGCAUGCAAAGCGGUGCACAUUGCGUGUCGACCGGAUUGGGUUGUGCUCUCAGCCCGAUGCGGCGCAACUCUUUGAGGUCACCGGAUUAGAUAGUGCACGCUCAGGUGGUUCAAACACAUUGUCAAGAUUGUAGGUGUUGCGACUUUGUGUGUCAGAUAGAUGGUUUCAGGUUGAUCCAUGUAUUUAUGCUGUCAAACUCUAUUAAAUAACAAUAAAUAUGGUUGCAUGCAUCGAUUGAUGCAGAGGCCGGAGGCCAUCCUUCUUUUCAAAAAAGAAAUGGAGAAAGAAGGAGCAUAUAUAAAGUUGUUUCCCUUUGCUAAAGUCAUUGUUGCUUGACCAAAUGGGCAAUGCGCUUGAAGCUAAGCAUCUAGAACACGAGAAUGUCCUGGAAGAUCAAGUAGCAUUUGGUGAGAACGACCCUCCAUGGUCCUCGUCCAAUAAUUGCCACUCCAGCAAACCGAUCACAUUCCAUGCUCUUGCAUGCCGUGCCACCCCAGCAUCAGAUGAUCAACACCUACCUGCUGUCCAUGGUUGGUCUUGGUCCUCGUGAACACUUAGUGUGCACACCUGGUCCCGUCAAACUUGGCCAGCGACAAUGGACAUCUGUUUUCACGAGGCGUUCAACAAACAAGAAUUGUUUCUUUUAUUUACUGCUCCCUUCAUUCAGCAUCAGUAUAAUAAUAUAUCCAAAUAUACUUAAAUUAUUGAUUGAUGGAUUCGCCGGCAAUAUACAACUAAUGCAGACCACUUUGUCGUCGUGAUCUCGUAAUGCAGCCCACCAUUGCUUUCACCCCCUUGUUAAUCGAAACGGAAGUCCACGUAAUUGUUAAACGAGACGUUCAAGUCUUCUAGAAAAGCUGAUUUCUUCCCUGGUACGACGGAGUACGAUGCCACGACUUCUCCCCCCUGUGAACGGGCUACGGUGACGUUUGUGCGGCUUUUACUUUCUUGCAGAGUUGGAGAUAUGAUGUGGCCGGUUUUACUUUCUUGCAGACUUGGUGGUACUAUGAUGAGUUGAUGAUGCACCGUACGAAAUGAUAUGAUCGAUCGAUAAGCGCAUGGACGAUAAUAUAACCUUAUGAGAAAAGCCUGUCGCGAGGAAAACCCUAUGAGAAUGAGAUGUGCAUGUCGCUGGACACUUCCUGAAGAACCUGUUUCCGGUUUGGACGCUGAGCCUGUCGACGUCGAUCAACCCGCUAGCUAGGUAGUAGCCGCUGGUGGCUGGCGCCGGAGAUCGACGGCUAAAAAGGUAGCGUUCGUUCAUUAGCGGCCGGUGGAUACUCUGCUAAUCAAUGGGUUCAGCAAGUGCAACUUGAGAAUCUUUCUCCGUCCAACGCUAAUGUUGUCCACUGGUCGUCCAUUACGAAAGGGCUCACCACUCACCAGCAAACACACUGUGGAGUUGGCAGGCUUAAUGCGGCAGCCAUCCAUCCAUCUGAUGGUAAGGUGAUACUGUGAUGCAUGAUGUGAUUGAUUGAUCGACCGAUGCAGGUCUUUAUUUAAUUAUACCGCACAACUGAUGGAUAUAGGUGCCCCCGCCUCGCAUCCUACCUGGCGACUCGGGGAAACCCUAGCACCGUCCCCGCCGCGUUUUUCCCCUCUCUCCCUCUCCUCCGUCGCUGCCAGAGGGAGCCACGGCACUGGCUUGUAGCCUUGAUGAAGAUGGCGGCAGGGACCCUGCGUCUGGACGGCGGCGGUUCCCGGGGCGGCGGGAAUCUUGCGCCUGACGGCGGCGGUUCCCGGAGCAGCGGUUCCCGGAGCGGCAGCUUCGUUCCAGGGACGGCGGCUACCGGUGGCAGCGGGGAUCUCAGGCCUGGACGACGGCCCACGGGACGGUGGUGACUUCGGCCGGCGGCUCCUGGUGGCGCCUGGGUUCCAGAGCCUGGACGGCGGCGCCCGGGGCGGCGGCGGCUUCAGCUCUCGGGGCCGAGCCGCCUGGUAAUCCAGCCUCAUCCACCGCGCCAGCCUGGUUCCGGGUGCCUUUUCCUGGUGCUUGGUGGCCGGAUCUAAUCCGGUCUUGGCGGUGCCGACGGCGACGGCUUACCUGGGACCAUGGUGGUGGCGGCGUCCCCUCCGCCGGGGAUGACGGGUCUGAUGGUGGGGAGACAUGGUUGCCGGUGAAAACCGUGCCGGCGGCGAACGAUGGCGGCUUUCUAAGCCGUUUCCUUGAUGAAUGCUUCGUUCUGUAACUACUGUUGAUCCACUCGUCCUACUCCGGAAACCCUAGGAUCUGGUUUUCCAGAUCGGACGAUGGCGGCAUUGCGGUGUCGUUCCUCUCUAGGGAGCAUCGUUUGUGGAGCAGUGCUGGAAGACGGUGGCAGGAGGUGGAGCGUCUUCGUCCUGCACGGAGCUUCAGUGGUGAUGUCAUGUUAUGCCUGGCCGACAGGUGCUACGCUUUGUCAUGCCUGGUCGGCAGGUGCUACGCACGACAGAUCUUACCGAGCCUUCGCGUUUGGAUGGACGAGCGCGGGGAGGUGGUGCCGUUGGGCGUCAUGGUGGCGUCGACGGAUGGCUGGACUGACAAGGAUUAUGCGGAUCUCUUUCCUGAAGAUGGUUCAACGGUUCGAGGAUGAUGGCGGCUUCUAAAACAUGUGCAUGUGGUGUCCGCUUUAGGUCUGGUGCACCGGCUGUGAGUUCCGAUACGUUAUGUGGAUGGAUCGAAGACGACACCGGAUUUAGAUAUAGGGAGUGAGAGCACUCCACAUUAUCACGGUAUGUAGGUGUGAGAGGGGGCUUCGGAUGGUUUGAUGUAUGUACUUGUCAGACCUUUGUUGAAUAAGUAAUAAAGAUGGUUGCAUGCAUCACUCGAUGCAGAGGCCGGCGCUCGGCCUCCUUUUCUAAAAAAAAAACCUCUCUCCGGCCGGAAUGUGCAAGCGGUUGCAGAUAUCAUAUCACUUGGAGUUGAGUUCGUCGUUUCCCCCUCUCGAGCCUUCUUGGUUUCCACAUUGGCGCGAGAGAGAUUUCUUGUUUUUGUUUUCCCAAACGGCUUUGCCACGGGAGUUGAGGAAGGGCAAUUCGGCGCGAGAGAGGUUUUUGUUUUUCCAAACCGCUUGGUCACUUGGAUGUCAAGGUAAGAUGAUGAUGCGCUGGUGAUUGACUGGACGACAGCGAUGCGUGGUUGGUUGAUGCUGUGACAGCCUCCCGCCCCGUGGACACAGCUCCGGGAUCACUUUCCAGGUACAGUACUACUUCUGCUUCCGAGGACAGGUAAAGCUUUUUCAGCUUGCUGCUGCAGCAUGUGUUCGUGUUCCUCCCUCGAUGCUUACCCUGUCCACGCUGUGUUUGCGAAAUGGUAAGCUGUGGUAGCACGUUGACAGCUACAGUAAAAAAGCAUUGCAUGUCUCCACGAUACGCUUUUGAAUAUGUGAUUCACCAAGCAUGAUAAUGCCGUUUGUUAAUCCCCUCGCCAAAGGGGUUGAAAGAGAUUGGAGAGGUCUAAGGGGGAUUUUCAUUUACAAGAAAUUUAAUCCCUGCAGGUCCGAAGAAACUCAAUCCCUCCCUGUCAGCAGAACAAGCCCUUAUGCAGAGGACUUCGGGAGCUACUAUACACUCCAUUCGUACAUAAAUAUAAGUUUUUUAUAGAUUAUACUACGGACUACAUACGAAUGUGUAUAUAUAUAUAUAUNNNNNNNNNNNNNNNNNNNNNNNNNNNNNNNNNNNNNNNNNNNNNNNNNNNNNNNNUUAUAUAUUCUUUAAUUAAACGCCAGAAAUGAUUUGUAUUUACAUUCUGUUGUUGGACUUCGGUAGUUCGUAAUGGUUCCUGGGAUUUCAUGUUAUUUUGGUGUUUGCACUUUGGGCUGUAAAACUGAUAAGUUGUGGCUUCAUUAUCAAUGAAAUGGAGCAGGGGGGAACCCCUUUUAUUCAAAAAACAAACAAACAAAGGGAGUAGACUGCUUAAUCUUUAUUGUUGAUCAGUAAUAUGGACUGUUUAAUCAUGUAUAGACUACUGAGUGAAAUACACACUGCUUUGAUUUUCUUUUUCCUUUUUUUAAGUGCAUACACACUGCUUCGUUUUGACAUUUUUGUAUGGGUAUUUAACAAAGUCUUNNNNNNNNNNNNNNNNNNNNNNNNNNNNNNNNNNNNNNNNNNNNNNGAAAGAUAGUUCGACAAAGUUUUUUUUUUUACGGGUGACAAAGUUGUUUCCAGCAGAAGUUGGAAGUGUAUGUGCAGGCCCGUGACCAGUCCAGGCCAACCCAGUAUAUUGAUCAUCUGUUCAAAAAUAUUAAUACUGCACUUGAAAAAUGUUAAUCAAGAAUUCAAAAAUAUAUUAACUAUAUAUAGAAAAAAUGUUGACCAGGUAUUCAGUAAAUAUUGAACUUGUAUUUGAAAGAUGUUAAACGUGUUUUGGACAUAUACAAAAAAUGUACAAUGUGUAUGAAAAAAAUAAGAAUCCAAAAAAUGUGAAUCAUGUAUUUCAAAAAUGUUAAAUGUAUGUAUAGAAAAAAAUAUGAUGUAAUACUUAUGUUGAAUCUGUACUGAAAAACAAUGAACACAUGUUGAACAAGAAAAUACUCCCUCCGUCCCAAAAUAAAUGUAGUUGUUCUAGUAUAAAAUUUAUACUAAUUUAAUGUUAAAUUUAUGGCACUUAUUUUAAGACGGAGGGUGUAUAAAACAAAAAGAGAAACGAAGAAAACCAUUGGAAAAAAUAAAAGAAUACAAAGCCGUAAAAACCAGUGCAAAACUGCAAAUGAAUGAAACCAAAAGAACCAGGAAAAAACAGGGAAAUAGAUAAAACCCAAGGAAAGGUGAGGACAAAAGAAAAAAAACAAGAAUGGAACAAAAAAGACACAAAACCAGUGAAAACCGAGAAGAAACAAAGAAAACCAUUGGGAAAGCAAAGAAAACAGGAAACCAAAUAAAAUUGUGAAUGAAACGAAAGAAAGUUGAAAAAACAAAGAAAAACAAAACAAAAAAUUGUAAUUUAAAGAAAAAACACCAACCCAGCUAACGAAGACCGAACGCAAUUGAAAUUAAGUGAACGGAAGAAAACACCAAAUAUGGCACCGAGACGUAAGGAAGACUCGCUCAGACCGUGAUAUAGUCCCCGGGCUUUUUUAAAGCGAUAUUCUUUUUGCUUACUUUAGGUUUUACGGUUUUGUCAAGUUUUUCACACAGCUUUUCUCUAAGACGACCAUAUAUAUAGUAAAAACAAUAAUGAAUGGUAAAAAUGUACAUGAAUUAUUAUUCUCAAUAAUUCAAUAAUGCUUGAUAUUAAAAAUAUUCAUGAAAACAGUAUUUGCGAAUUUCAUAAAAUAUUCAUGUAAUCUUUUUAAAAGUUGUGACAAAAACAAUGGUCAUGCUAUUUUAUAAGUUUCUGAAAAUGUUCACCGUUUUCUUCUAUAAACCAUGGAUCCUAAAAAUUAUAUUAAAAAAUCUGAAAAGUAUAUAGGAAUUCGAAAUAACAAAAAGAAAAAAAUGCGAAAAAAUACUGGAUAACGAAAGCCCUAGAAAAACGUAAACCCAAAAAAACGAGUGAAGAAAAAAAACCUAAGAGUACGCUUAUGGAAAACCGGUAAAUGGAUCUGGCUCAUGGCUCGUCGCUCUAUGCAUCAUUUCAACUUUUUGAUGCACAUAGCGUCAAAUGAGAUUUUCCUUAGGGACCCGAUGCAAGAUUCUAUUCCUAAACCUUUGUUUCCUUAGGGAAACCAUGUAUUUUAGCCUUCAAAUAUUGUUUCGAAACAUGAGGAUGAUUUUUGGACUAAUAUGAACCCGGAGGAACAAGACUUGGGUUUGGAGGGCCCAAGCGCUGAAGCCCUUGGGACGCUUGGGCAUUAUAAAAGGCUUCUGGUGGUUUUCUUUUGUUGCCUGAUUCUACCCAAAGUUUUUGAACCACCUUAUUUUUGCAGUUUUUUGGAGUUGUGAAUUUGCGGGAAUUAAUAAAACUUACGAGACACAUAUUCCACAUUCAGAAGCAACUCUCCGAAGAGUCAUAUACAAUCAAGGGGGGGAGGGGGGGUUCCUCACCAAUAUUGCCCACCAAAUACUUGGUAAUACUCCCCCCCCCACCACCACCACCAAUGCGGGCAGGCCAAGGAAAAAGGAGAAGGAGGGGGCCCUCUUCCCCUCUCUUAUUGUGACGCUGGAAUGCCGCUAAGGAACCAUCAUCGCCUCCAACGACUUCUCCACCAUCACUACCUUGGACCAUUGGGUUCACUAUCUUAGAAUCUGUGUAAUCUCCUAGCAAGGCACGAUAUUUGAUACAAUAAAUUACCCCCGUAUGAUUUGUUGUAUCAUUUUAAUGUGUGAGUAGUUUUAUUUUGUCUUGCAACAUUGAUGUUCUGGUAUAAUAUGUAAGGAUUGUAUGUUCUGAUAUAAUGAUGCCCUCUUGUGCUAGUAUAGAGAUGCACCCUUAAAGCAGCAAGAGGAAGAUUACUUCGACACCCCAAAGAUCUAGAUGUAUUAUUCAAUUCGUGUUUCUAUAAGGGUGCGUGUCAUUUGGUCUUGCUAGAAGGAAUAGCGAUAACAAAAAGACGAAAAGCAGUAGUCUGACAGGCGAGCAAACAAACGGAAGAGGCGUGGUUGACUAAAGUAAAAAAAAUGCGGUACUAUUAGGUAUUGGCACCACUUGAGCCAAUCAGGUUGUGCCAGCUCACGUCGUAUGUUAUCAUGCGUGCUGUAUGAAAAUGAUCUAUCACAUUUAUCUAAUAUUUGUAUUUCAGUAUGAUGGCCCACCAUCAUCCUUCACAUGCAGACAUAACAAGAUGUGACAUACCCCCUCUCUCCACUCUCCCACACAAUAAAAUCAACCUUUUUAUCUUGUCUAAUUUAAAACAUCAUAUCUUUUAAAUAAUAUAUUUGUUUUUGUCACUUUUUUAUAUUUGAGCUCCUUGCACCAAAAUCUUUAAAAUGAAACCAAUCUCGGAUAUUUUUCAACCACAUUUAAAUUCAAACCUACAUUUCACAUUUUCAUAUAAUAAGUUUCACAAUUGUACAUUACAAUUUUACUUUCUAUAGUUAUUAUUUCACAAUUCUAAAAUAUGUUAUUGCCUUGUUUCACAAAAAUCAUACCUAUUUCAAUUGCACAUUUGUGAAAUGACACUUUAACACUUUUAAAAUUAACUGUUUCACACUUUUAAAUAAAUCAGUUUCACAAUCAUACACUAUAAUUUCACUUUCUAUAUUUAUUAUUUGACAAUUUUGAAGUAUGUUACUGGCUUGUUUGAACAAAAUCACAUCUAUUUUAAUUGCCCAUUAUGAAAUGGCAACUAUAACACUUUUGAAAUGGACCGUUUCACAUUUUUUUUAAACAAUUCCACAAUCAUAUAUUAUGAUUUCACUUUUUGUAGUUAUUAUUUGACAAUUCUGAAAUAUGUUACCAGCUUGUUUCACACAAUUACAUAUAUUUCAAAUUAGCUAACUGAAUAAUCAGUUUCACAAUCAUACAUUACAAUUUCACUUUUGAAAAUGACAUAUUUCACAUUCUGUGGUUACUAUUUCACAAUUCAAAACAUACAUUUUACUUUUACUAUUUCAGUUGCACAUUUGUCAAAUUAUAUUUUCAAUCUCUUGAAGUAAACCGUCACACAUUUCAAAAUAAUCAGUUUCGCAAAAUUGACAUUUCAGUUUCAUUUUUGGGUUAAAUAGGUUUCUAUUGAAAUAGGUUGGUUUAACACAUUUCUAUUGAAACAUUUUUUUUGCAAAAAUUUGUAGUAAAAUAGGUUUGUUUAACAUAUGGAAUGUGAGAAUUUAAAAUUUAAAUGUGUUUGAAAUGAAUCCAAGAUUGGUAUUGUUUAAAAGGCCUUUGCACCGGGACCUCAAAUAAAGAAAACAAAUAGAACUUAGGCUGCUCAUAGUGGAGAGUAACAUAUAGUAGUAUCAUGCAUAUGUUACUAUUGUAUGAUACUACCUUCAUAGUGCAUAGUAACAAAAACUAGUAUCGUAGAUGAUCUCAUUUAUUGACAUGCAUGACACAUAGUAGAAUUGCAUUUAACAUGUUACGGUAUCUAUCUAUGUUACUUUAAUCAUCUCUCUUUUCUUUAAUUACUUGCCACAUCACCACGUUUGCUAGUCCCAAGACUAUAUUACUAGCUAUGAUACCCCACUAUGGCCAGCCUUAUGGUUUAAAAGAUAUGGAGCAUUUAAUUUAGUAUAGGUGGAAUAAAAGUUUGAAUUUAAGUGGAGAGAGAGAGAGAGAGUAGUCCCUCAUUUUCUGUGCAUGCCAAGGACAAAAAUGAUGGGCAUCAUUAGCUGUAUUGGAUGAUGUAUAUCUUGUGUAUAGCAAGAAAUUAAGAAUUAAAUGAUUCACAGUAACUUGACACACACAACGAAGACGGAUUUUAUAUCCACAGGUAGCGUUAACGUUCAAACUGACUUUCUGCAUGGUUGACGGUUUGGUGGUUACGCCACGGCCCACGGCCAAGUAUAAGAUUUUAUAGAAAUUUUAUUAUUAGCAAUAUACGAAGCGAAAUAAGUAAAACUACGCUUUAAAAUAUGUUUAUAUAUUUCUGCAUAUAGCUUAUAGUAAAAAAAUUAAAAGUCUUAUAUUUCCAAACAGAGGGAGUACAACCCAACUUUGAAGCACGCAUCUCAUCCAAUGCGUGAGCAACCUACUUACUAGCCGCGUCACUGACUGUCCAGUGACAGGUCAACUGAUCGAUGUAGCAACAGUAGCUACGAAGCAGGUACUCCUCAUCACACGCUCGGCAGCGUCGGUUCUUCCAUCACCUGCUCGCUAGGAGUAGCUAGAUAGCUCUCACGUACCUCGCGUCUCCCCGGAAUUCCUCCCGUAUAUAAUGGCGCUGCCACCAUGCUUCGCCACAUCACUUCAACCAAGUCACAGCCAGCUAGCAUUGCAUCAUGGCCCGCGCCCUCGCCGUCGCCGCCGUGACGGCGCUCAGCCUCCUCGUCUUCCUCCACUCCUGCCCGUGCGCCCACGCGCGGCCGCUGCCCGCGAGACCGGAGAGCUCGGGAACGUCCGCGCUUGCAGUGCCACCGUCGGCGUCCGAGGGCGCGGCGCACUGGCGUGCCGCCGACGCGGCCGCCAGGGCGGGGAAGUGGCUGCCGUACUACCGGUACGCGGGCGGUGGCGGCGGCCUGCACUACCACCCAGGGUACCCCAAGUACCCGGGGUACCCGGCUGAGGGAAAGCCGAUGAUGUGGGGGUCGGGCUCGCCACCGGAGCUGGGCGCCUACGGCGCGAGCGGCCGGCAGCUUGGGAAGUCGGCGUACGGCGAGGAGACCCGGCAGGAGCAGGUCGCCAUGUGGGCCUCGCUGCUCAACCCGUCCAAGGGGCCAACCACGCCCACCAGCUGGAUGCCGGCGAAUGGCGGCGACGAGCCGGCGGAUCAGGCCCGCGACGAGCCUAAGGCGUUGGCCGGCGCUGCCGAAGGGGCGGAGAUGGACGUGCCCCCCGGCGGCGGCGGCGUUCAGCUGACCGCCCAGCAGCCCAAGUGGAGGUUCUACCCCGAGAACAAGAAUGGCAAGUGAAGAUGGCGUACGUGCCCGCAGAAUUACUGCACUAGCACAAGACUGGAAUGCUGGAUUACAGUUCUUUGCUGUUGAAAUAGAUGUGCCUCGACGGCUAUACACAGUCAAGCUUUACACGUCUUUGACUGUAAUCUGUUUUUCGUGGAAGUAAUAUUCAAAUUUUGACAUGGAAACAACAAUUGUUACAUGACCAAAGUUACUUCUAAAAGUUAUAUGUUAUCUGUAAGACUGUAACACGCAGUUAUAGAAAGAAUGUACUCCCUCCGUUUCUAAAUAUAAG